GAGUGAACUAUUGUUAAGGAACUCUGCAAAAUGAGUCCGUAACUUCGGAAGAAGGACUGCUGGUUUUAUACCAGCCGCAGCAAAUAGGCCCAAACAACUGUUUAUCAAAAACACAGGUUUCUGCAAAAUCGUAAGAUGAAGUAUAGGGGCUGACGCCUGCCCAGUGCUGGAAGGUUAAAAGGAGGACUUAGCUUCGGCGAAGGUCUUAAUUGAAGCCCCAGUGAACGGCGGCCGUAACUAUAACGGUCCUAAGGUAGCGAAAUUCCUUGUCGGGUAAGUUCCGACCCGCAUGAAAGGCGUAAUGAUUUGGGCGCUGUCUCAACAAUAGACUCGGUGAAAUUUAAAUUCCAGUGAAGAUGCUGGGUACCCGCGACAGGACGGAAAGACCCCGUGGAGCUUUACUGUAGCUUGAUAUUGAAUGUUUGUGCUGCAUGUGCAGGAUAGGUAGGAGACUUUGAAGUCGGAACGCUAGUUUCGAUUGAGUCACCCUUGAGAUACUACCUCUGUUGUAUGAACGUUCUAACUCUGAUCAGUUAUCCUGAUCGAAGACAGUGUCUGGCAGGCAGUUUGACUGGGGCGGUCGCCUCCUAAAAGAUAACGGAGGCGCUCAAAGGUUUGCUCAGAAUGGUUGGAAAUCAUUCGUAGCGUGUAAAGGCAUAAGCAAGCUUGACUGUGAGACUGACAAGUCGAGCAGGUACGAAAGUAGGACUUAGUGAUCCGGUGGUUCCGUAUGGAAGGGCCAUCGCUCAACGGACAAAAGCUACCCCGGGGAUAACAGGCUCAUCUCCCCCAAGAGUCCACAUCGACGGGGAGGUUUGGCACCUCGAUGUCGGCUCAUCGCAUCCUGGGGCUGUAGUCGGUCCCAAGGGUUGGGCUGUUCGCCCAUUAAAGCGGUACGCGAGCUGGGUUCAGAACGUCGUGAGACAGUUCGGUCCCUAUCCGUCGUGGGCGCAGGAAAUUUGAGAGGAUCUGUCCUUAGUACGAGAGGACCGGGAUGGACAUACCUCUGGUGUACCAGUUGUUCUGCCAAGAGCACCGCUGGGUAGCUACGUAUGGAUUAGAUAAUCGCUGAAAGCAUCUAAGUGAGAAACUAACCUCGAGAUGAGAUUUCCCAUUCGUCAGAAGUAAGACCCCUGAGAGACGAUCAGGUAGAUAGGCUAGAAGUGGAAGUGUAGUGAUGCAUGGAGCGGACUAGUACUAAUAGGUCGAGGACUUAACCAAG
RNAcentral lists this ribosomal RNA (1222 nucleotides) under Oenococcus oeni. RNAcentral's name for it is "bacterial LSU rRNA". It matches the Rfam family "Bacterial large subunit ribosomal RNA", at positions 1692 to 2925 of the family's 2925-position model. The record is from RNAcentral. Lineage: Bacteria; Bacillati; Bacillota; Bacilli; Lactobacillales; Lactobacillaceae.